RNAcentral lists this long non-coding RNA (598 nucleotides) under Rattus norvegicus (Norway rat). RNAcentral's name for it is "long non-coding RNA NONRATT014607". Lineage: Eukaryota; Metazoa; Chordata; Mammalia; Rodentia; Muridae. The record is from RNAcentral.
GGGGCCCAAAGGCAGGCAGUUUAGUCAGAGACAGUCCCUGCUCCCACUGUUAGGAGUCCCACAUGAAGACCAAGCUACACAACUGUAACAUAUGUGUAGAGGACCUAGGUCAGUCCUAUGCAGACUCCCUGGUUGGCAGUUCAGUCUCUAUGAGUCCCUAUGGGUUGGCUGAUUCUGCAGAUUUUCUUGUGUCCUUAACUCCUCUGGCUCCUUCAGUCCUUCCCCUCUUCCACAGGAUUCCCCAAGGUCCACCUAAGAACAUGUGUGGGGAGUGUGAUGGCUUGCAUAUCCUUGGUCCAAGGAGUGAUACUAUUAGAGGGUGUGGCCCUGUUGGAGUAGGUGUGGCACUGGGUGUGGGCUUUAAGACCCUCUUCCUAGCUGCCUGGAAGCAGUCUUUGAAAGAUGUAGAACUCUCAGCUCCUCUUGAACCAUGCCUACCUGGAUGUUGCCAUGUUUCUGUAUUGAUGAUAAUGGACUGAACCCCUGAACCUGUAAGCCAGUCCCAAUUAAAUGACCUUAUAAGAGUUGCCUUGGUUAUGGCUUCUGUUCACAGCAGUAAAACCCUAACUAAGGUGGGGCAGGGGGUGGGGAGUGGGUG